GCCUGCCUGGCUCAGUCAGUAGAGCAUGUGAUUCUUGAUCUUAUGGUUGUGAGUUCAAGCCUCAUGCUAGAUG
This 73-nucleotide transfer RNA is filed under the name Ailuropoda melanoleuca (giant panda). It matches the Rfam family "tRNA". Rfam says of the family: Transfer RNA (tRNA) molecules are approximately 80 nucleotides in length. Their secondary structure includes four short double-helical elements and three loops (D, anti-codon, and T loops). Further hydrogen bonds mediate the characteristic L-shaped molecular structure. tRNAs have two regions of fundamental functional importance: the anti-codon, which is responsible for specific mRNA codon recognition, and the 3' end, to which the tRNAs corresponding amino acid is attached (by aminoacyl-tRNA synthetases). tRNAs cope with the degeneracy of the genetic code in two manners: having more than one tRNA (with a specific anti-codon) for a particular amino acid; and 'wobble' base-pairing, i.e. permitting non-standard base-pairing at the 3rd anti-codon position. The record is from Rfam by way of RNAcentral. Lineage: Eukaryota; Metazoa; Chordata; Mammalia; Carnivora; Ursidae.